GAUGUGUAGGAUAGGUGGGAGGCUUUGAAGUGUGGACGCCAGUCUGCAUGGAGCCGACCUUGAAAUACCACCCUUUAAUGUUUGAUGUUCUAACGUUGACCCGUAAUCCGGGUUGCGGACAGUGUCUGGUGGGUAGUUUGACUGGGGCGGUCUCCUCCUAAAGAGUAACGGAGGAGCACGAAGGUUGGCUAAUCCUGGUCGGACAUCAGGAGGUUAGUGCAAUGGCAUAAGCCAGCUUGACUGCGAGCGUGACGGCGCGAGCAGGUGCGAAAGCAGGUCAUAGUGAUCCGGUGGUUCUGAAUGGAAGGGCCAUCGCUCAACGGAUAAAAGGUACUCCGGGGAUAACAGGCUGAUACCGCCCAAGAGUUCAUAUCGACGGCGGUGUUUGGCACCUCGAUGUCGGCUCAUCACAUCCUGGGGCUGAAGUAGGUCCCAAGGGUAUGGCUGUUCGCCAUUUAAAGUGGUACGCGAGCUGGGUUUAGAACGUCGUGAGACAGUUCGGUCCCUAUCUGCCGUGGGCGCUGGAGAACUGAGGGGGGCUGCUCCUAGUACGAGAGGACCGGAGUGGACGCAUCACUGGUGUUCGGGUUGUCAUGCCAAUGGCACUGCCCGGUAGCUAAAUGCGGAAGAGAUAAGUGCUGAAAGCAUCUAAGCACGAAACUUGCCCCGAGAUGAGUUCUCCCUGACUCCUUGAGAGUCCUGAAGGAACGUUGAAGACGACGACGUUGAUAGGCCGGGUGUGUAAGCGCAGCGAUGCGUUGAGCUAACCGGUACUAAUGAACCGUGAG
Molecule: ribosomal RNA, 788 nt
Filed under: Escherichia coli
Lineage: Bacteria; Pseudomonadati; Pseudomonadota; Gammaproteobacteria; Enterobacterales; Enterobacteriaceae
Description: partial 23S ribosomal RNA
Rfam family: Bacterial large subunit ribosomal RNA
Source: RNAcentral